AUAUAUAAAGUAAUUAGUUACAUUUAAUUUCGGCUUAAAAAUUUGAUUUUAUCAUAUAUAUA
Molecule: transfer RNA, 62 nt
Filed under: Andrena bicolor
Lineage: Eukaryota; Metazoa; Arthropoda; Insecta; Hymenoptera; Andrenidae
Description: tRNA-Arg
Source: RNAcentral